This 1402-nucleotide long non-coding RNA is filed under the name Anser cygnoides (Swan goose). RNAcentral describes it as "lncRNA (ENSACDG00005013904.1)". The record is from RNAcentral. Lineage: Eukaryota; Metazoa; Chordata; Aves; Anseriformes; Anatidae.
ACACAUAAAGCACCAUGUUUUACGUCCCAUGAGGUGGAACAUCACCUCACUGAAGGUACUGAAAAUGAUAUCACUAUGGCAUGGUUUAAGGUUUGAAUAGAAUAUCAACAUUUAUUGCAGCAGACUUAUAGCUAAUUUUGGUACUACUGCUGACACAUCCUAUCAGAAUUGUAGGUUUCCAAAUAUUGUUACCAUAUUUUUUAAUCUUAUUAGUGGGUUUGCACGUACAGUGUUAUUGAAUUUGUUGUUUGCUAAUAUGAUAUGAGAAGCUGUUACGGUAUCAAUCUUUUCAAUAAUAUCUGCAAUUUCAAAUUCUUAGAGCAAGUUCCUAUUAUAUCACAGCCAGAAAUAGGAUAUAUGUAUUAUUUUUAUUGUUGAUUUUGCAAUGCACUACUAUCAGGUUUCCACGGUAUUUAUUAAUUUUAAUUGCCCCUAAGAUCUCACUAAGUUAGUAGGAUGUUAUUUUUGCAAUGCAGGGGGAGGGGGAGGAAUAUUUUAUCAAUUUACAGAGAGUUUAUAAGACUAGAAAUUCUGGAGUCAGCAUAACAGCUUAGGGCAAAAUCCUGCUGUUAUGCAAUAUGGUUGUUGAGGAGGGGGGAGUGGUGGGGUGCUGGCAGAAGAACCAGCCUACUUGUGCAGAACCGGGUAGAGCAAGGCAGCUAGAGAGAGAAAAUCUUCAGGGAAGGUACCUCACGGCAUGUAUUCUACAUGCCAGUCAGUGCCUCAUUACUAUAGCUGCUGUUUGUCUCAUAGGUUCUGGGUAGAACGGGAGAAGGUCCCCCAAGAAGCAGCAAACUGUGGAUUGAAGGAGGACCCUGGUCUCUCCCUGCCCUGUUUCCCAGCACCCUGCUGUGUCUCUAGCUACUGGGUGAUGGCAAUUUACUGGAACUACUUUUGCAAUGCCACCUUAGAGAUUGCAUGAUGGUUAUUCAAGAGACUUACUUAGGAGGAACAGAAGUGGUGCGGUUUAUCAUGUACUAAGUGAAAACCCAGCCCCGCCGAGUCGCAGAGAAACUUGAGUUCUUCCAUCAGGUGCACAGCAUGUAUUGGCCUGUUUGUGAAGGGACGAAGUUCAUACCUUGUGCUUACAGAUACAAUUUUAAAUUUGUAAUAGAGACCUGAUAUUCCAGCAGGGACAUGUAUUUACAUACCUAAUUAAAAUCCAAAAUAGUUAUGACAGUUUAAAAACAGUUACAUAUUUAUUUUAAGAAAUAUCUUCAAGGGAUCCAGAAUUCAAAAUUCUGGCCUCAGCCUUCCUGGAUCAAUGGGCUGCUACAGACAGUUAACAUUUUGCAUUUAGGGUGAUAACAGUAUUAUACAGAAAAUACCUUCCAUUCAGUUUUGUUUUGGUUCGUUUAAAAAAAAGAAUAAAAAAAAAUAAUCCUCCUUUCCUUUCUUAAUU